This is a non-coding RNA of Phrynosoma platyrhinos (Desert horned lizard), 72 nucleotides long. The record is from the annotation of a GenBank genome assembly. Lineage: Eukaryota; Metazoa; Chordata; Lepidosauria; Squamata; Phrynosomatidae.
GCCAGUGUGGUGUAGUGGUUGGAGUAUUGGACCAGGACUCUAGAGACCAAGGUUCAAAUCCUGGCUCGGCCA